UGCACCACUCCUACGGGAGGCAGCAGUCGAGGAUCUUCUGCAAUGGGCGCAAGCCUGACAGAGCGACGCCGCGUGUGGGAUGAAGGCCUUCGGGUUGUAAACCACUGUCACUGGUUACGAAAAGCUAGGAGGCUAAUAGCCUCCUAGUUUGACUAAGGCCAGAGAGGAAGCCACGGCUAACUUCGUGCCAGCAGCCGCGGUAAGACGAAGGUGGCGAGCGUUGUUCGGAAUCACUGGGCAUAAAGCGCACGUAGGCGGCGGCGUAAGUCGGGUGUGAAAUCCCUCGGCCUAACCGAGGAACUGCGCCCGAUACUGCGUUGCUUGAGGGUCAAAGGGGUGCAUGGAAUUCCCGGUGGAGCGGUGAAAUGCGUUGAUAUCGGGAGGAACGCCGGCGGCGAAAGCGGUGCACUGGUUGACUUCUGACGCUCAUGUGCGAAAGCCAA
RNAcentral lists this ribosomal RNA (443 nucleotides) under uncultured Planctomycetota bacterium. RNAcentral's name for it is "bacterial SSU rRNA". It matches the Rfam family "Bacterial small subunit ribosomal RNA", at positions 329 to 763 of the family's 1533-position model. The record is from RNAcentral. Lineage: Bacteria; Pseudomonadati; Planctomycetota.